This 253-nucleotide ribosomal RNA is filed under the name uncultured bacterium. RNAcentral's name for it is "partial 16S ribosomal RNA". It matches the Rfam family "Bacterial small subunit ribosomal RNA", at positions 524 to 776 of the family's 1533-position model. The record is from RNAcentral.
UACAGAGGUGUCAAACGUUGUCCGGAAUUACUGGGCGUAAAGGGCGCGUAGGCGGCCUUAUAAGUCAUUUGUGAAAGCUCUGGGCUCAACCCAGGAAUUGCAAGUGAUACUGUAAGGCUUGAGUUCGGUAGAGGAGGGCGGAAUUCCAGGUGUAGCGGUGAAAUGCGUAGAUAUCUGGAGGAACACCCGUGGCGAAGGCGGCUCUCUGGUCCGAAACUGACGCUGAGGUGCGAAAGCUAGGGUAGCAAACAGG